This 260-nucleotide ribosomal RNA is filed under the name uncultured bacterium. RNAcentral's name for it is "partial 16S ribosomal RNA". It matches the Rfam family "Bacterial small subunit ribosomal RNA", at positions 1066 to 1330 of the family's 1533-position model. The record is from RNAcentral.
CGUGAGAUGUUGGGUUAAGUCCCGCAACGAGCGCAACCCCUAUUGUUAGUUGCUACGCAAGAGCACUCUAGCGAGACUGCCGUUGACAAAACGGAGGAAGGUGGGGACGACGUCAAAUCAUCAUGCCCCUUAUGUCCUGGGCUACACACGUAAUACAAUGGCGGUCAACAGAGGGAUGCAAAACCGUAAGGUGGAGCGAACCCCUAAAAGCCGUCCCAGUUCAGAUCGUGGGCUGCAACCCGCCCACGUGAAGUCGGAUC